UAAUUUAUGAUCAAAAACCCUUAGAAAAUCGAAAAAAUAAGGAUAAGGUCGCAGAGGUAACCGCCAUUAUGUUUGUGCAUAGUACCUUUGUGAAGAUCAUCUACAGCCUUCAGGGACUCUUCUACAGGUGUUUUGUGGUCAGGUGCAUAUUAAGAAAUGUUCAACUCGAAGAAAAGAUAACUUUCUGGUAUCAUAAAUUCCAAAGAAGAAGGAAGGAUAUGUACGAAUUAUUCUGGCUGGAAUAUCAUUCUGUUACAUGACAUCUGAUCCAGCAACAGCAUCAGUUGCAUAUGUUAUCAGUCAGAUAGUACUGGAUUGGAUUGAUGGAGACGCAGCAAGAUAUUUUAAC
Long non-coding RNA from Actinia tenebrosa (Australian red waratah sea anemone), 349 nucleotides. The record is from RefSeq and is a predicted model, not a curated record. NCBI's taxonomy places the organism in Eukaryota, Metazoa, Cnidaria, Anthozoa, Actiniaria, Actiniidae.